Molecule: small nuclear RNA, 104 nt
Filed under: Octodon degus (degu)
Lineage: Eukaryota; Metazoa; Chordata; Mammalia; Rodentia; Octodontidae
Source: RNAcentral
GUGUUUGCCUUGGCAGCAUAUAUGCAAAAAUUAGAAUAUCAAGACUGUUAGCAUCACCUCAGCACAAACAUGACAUGAAAAUUCAUGAAGCAUUCUGUAACUUU